UACGGAGGGUGCAAGCGUUAUCCGGAAUUAUUGGGCGUAAAGCGCGCGUAGGCGGUUCGUUAAGUCUGAUGUGAAAGCCCCCGGCUCAACCGGGGAGGGUCAUUGGAAACUGGCGAACUUGAGUGCAGAAGAGGAGAGUGGAAUUCCAUGUGUAGCGGUGAAAUGCGCAGAGAUAUGGAGGAACACCAGUGGCGAAGGCGGCUCUCUGGUCUGUAACUGACGCUGAGGUGCGAAAGCGUGGGGAUCAAACAGG
This 253-nucleotide unclassified non-coding RNA is filed under the name uncultured Staphylococcaceae bacterium. RNAcentral's name for it is "contains 16S-23S intergenic spacer region". It matches the Rfam family "Bacterial small subunit ribosomal RNA", at positions 524 to 776 of the family's 1533-position model. The record is from RNAcentral. Lineage: Bacteria; Bacillati; Bacillota; Bacilli; Caryophanales; Staphylococcaceae.